AUCGCAGCCAUUGCCGUAAUGCGAAAUCUCACGCCGAUCUGAUCUACACCACACACCCCUUCUCACUCACUCUCUCAGUUCAUUUCCACUGCAAGUCCCUCACUGUCAAUCCACCGUCUCCCGAUACUCUCUCCGAGUUUCCUCCGCCUUCAAUGCCCAAUCCCUUCUCCACAAUUCAAAUCUCUCUCUACUUCUUCAUCCUCCAUUCUCUUUUUAAAACCUUCCCUUGCCUAGGUUUUCUCUCCUAUGGCAUUUUUUUAAUUUUCCCUCCUCAAUGGCGGCCACUUCUCAUCUCCAUUUCAAGAUCACUCGUCUCCCCAUUUCUCCGCUGCAUUCCUCUUUUUAUGGAUUGCAACUCAGCAGGAAGAAGGGGAGGGCCGCCAUCGGUGUCAGUUCAAUCAUUUGCUGCUGCUCCGAUUCUGUGGUUUCCAUUCGGAGUGUCGACAAAAAUGAAGGCAGGUCCUCUCAUAGGCUCCGUGUUCAAGCCACUCCCACAUUGCCUUUUGCUUCUUCUCAGUCUCGUUUUGCUUCAAAACAAGAAAAGUUUUCUCCUCGUUGCAGCCCAAGAAACUCUGGUCCACAAUCCCGAGACACUCCACCAAAAAGAGACACUGGUAUCGCAAAUGAAAAGGAGUGGGACAUCAACUUGUUGAAUGAAAAUGUUAAUGAAUCUGGCACUAAUGAUGAUGGUAGUACUUGGUACCGAGAAAGUGGAGAAGACCUGGGUGAAGAUGGGUACAGAUGUAGAUGGACAAUAAUGGGCGGACGAUCACAUGAUGAUACUUCAGAAUGGAAAGAAACGUGGUGGGAGAAAAGUGACUGGACUGGAUACAAAGAGCUAGGUGUGGAGAAAUCUGGAAGGAAUGCUGAAGGGGAUUCAUGGUGGGAGACAUGGCAAGAGGUGCUCCAUCAAGAUGAAUGGAGCAAUCUAGCAAGGAUAGAGAGAAGUGCACAAAAACAAGCGAAGUCAGGGACUGAAAAUGCUGGAUGGUAUGAGAAAUGGUGGGAGAAAUAUGAUGCUAAAGGCUGGACCGAAAAGGGGGCUCAUAAGUAUGGUAGACUGAAUGAGCAGUCAUGGUGGGAGAAGUGGGGAGAGCAUUACAAUGGGAGAGGAUCUGUUCUCAAAUGGACAGAUAAAUGGGCUGAGACUGAAUUGGGAACCAAAUGGGGUGACAAGUGGGAAGAGAGGUUCUUUGCUGGUAUAGGUUCUCGCCAGGGUGAGACAUGGCAUGUUUCUCCAGUUGGUGAACAUUUUUCUUGAUAGUUGCGAGGGUCACUGAUGGGAUACUGAACUUGCAUGGUUAACUGUCAACAAUAUCCCCAUACAUCAGCUUCAGUAGUUGCUUUCUUAACUUCGUUAGUGUGACUGUCAUGUACAAGAUGUAGUUUGGCGUUUAACUUAUUCUUUGAAGUACAUGACUCAAGGUUGGACAAGGACAUGGGGAGAAGAACAUUUUGGAAAUGGUAAAGUCCACAAAUAUGGAAAGAGCACAACAGGUGAAAGCUGGGAUAUUGUUGUGGACGAGGAAACCUAUUAUGAGGCUGAACCUCACUAUGGAUGGGCUGACGUUGUAGGUGAUUCAACCCAGUUGCUAUCUAUUAAACCUCGGGAGAAACCACCAGGAGUCUACACAAGUCUUGAUUUUGGUUCAUCUUCAGCCGAUGAUGACUCCUCAGACUUGCCUCCUCUUCCGCAAUGAAGGCCUGAUUUUCAGGUUCUAUUUUGCUUUAGGUGAUUCCAUAUCUGAUGAAAGUCCAAUUUCAUUUUAAUUUUUUAGGUUGUCUUAUAACUGAAUUUUGCGAUUGCUUUCCAUUUGUUCAUUCUUUGGAUGGGGUUGUGAUAAAUAUUGGACAUUACCUCAUCUUUUUAUUAAGUUUCUGGCUGCUAUUGGAGUUUGUGGUAUGACUAGUUCCUCGUUGAAUUUUAAA
RNA transcript from Manihot esculenta (cassava), 1929 nucleotides. RefSeq lists it as uncharacterized. The record is from RefSeq and is a predicted model, not a curated record. The transcript has 12 exons. Lineage: Eukaryota; Viridiplantae; Streptophyta; Magnoliopsida; Malpighiales; Euphorbiaceae.